Tachyglossus aculeatus (Australian echidna) is the source of this 138-nucleotide small nucleolar RNA. NCBI's taxonomy places the organism in Eukaryota, Metazoa, Chordata, Mammalia, Monotremata, Tachyglossidae. The record is from RefSeq and is a predicted model, not a curated record.
CCCCUCUCAGGGUCACACCUGGAGAGUUUCCAGUACUCUACCAGUCUCGGCUACAGGAGGGAGAGUCACGCAGAGGCAUACCUAUUCCAUUCCUAGCUUGGGCAGUGGCUAGCAAGAGGAAGGCCAUCUGCUACAAGU